This 692-nucleotide ribosomal RNA is filed under the name Actinoplanes subglobosus. RNAcentral's name for it is "bacterial SSU rRNA". It matches the Rfam family "Bacterial small subunit ribosomal RNA", at positions 164 to 871 of the family's 1533-position model. The record is from RNAcentral. Lineage: Bacteria; Bacillati; Actinomycetota; Actinomycetes; Micromonosporales; Micromonosporaceae.
UCAUGGCGUAUCAUGCUGUGCAUGUCGUGAUGUCCGGGUGUAAAGAUGUUCGGUUGGCGAAUCACUCGCGGCGUAUCAUAAUGUCGGUGCAAUAAGGGCAACCUAGCCGACGUCAGAUAGCGGCGUGAGAGGGCGGCCGGACACACGGGCCAUGAUCCUCGGGGCAGCAUCAUUCGGGAGUCAGCAGCAAUGAAUGGAACCCAAAGGCAGGAACCUGAUGCAGGGACGCCGCCUGAGGGAUGGUGACCUUCGGGUUGCAGGCCUGAAUCAGCAGAGUUGUAUCGCACAUGACGGUACCUGCAGAAGAAGCGCCGGCCAACUACGUGCCAGCAGCCGCGGUAAGACGUAGGGCGCGAGCGUUGUCCGGAUUUAUUGGGCGUAAAGAGCUCGUAGGCGGCUUGUCGCGUCGAAUGUGAAAUCUCGGGGCUCAACUCCGAGCUUGCAUUCGAUACGGGCAGGCUAGAGUUCGGUAGGGGAGACUGGAAUUCCUGGUGUAGCGGUGAAAUGCGCAGAUAUCAGGAGGAACACCGGUGGCGAAGGCGGGUCUCUGGGCCGAUACUGACGCUGAGGAGCGAAAGCGUGGGGAGCGAACAGGAUUAGAUACCCUGGUAGUCCACGCUGUAAACGUUGGGCGCUAGGUGUGGGGACCCUCUCCGGGUUUCUGCGCCGCAGCUAACGCAUUAAGCGCCCCG